Molecule: ribosomal RNA, 551 nt
Filed under: uncultured bacterium
Lineage: Bacteria
Description: bacterial SSU rRNA
Rfam family: Bacterial small subunit ribosomal RNA
Source: RNAcentral
UAGGGAAUCUUCCGCAAUGGACGAGAGUCUGACGGAGCAACGCCGCGUGAGUGAUGAAGGCUUUCGGGUCGUAAAACUCUGUUGUUAGGGAAGAACAAGUGCUAGUUGAAUAAGCUGGCACCUUGACGGUACCUAACCAGAAAGCCACGGCUAACUACGUGCCAGCAGCCGCGGUAAUACGUAGGUGGCAAGCGUUAUCCGGAAUUAUUGGGCGUAAAGCGCGCGCAGGUGGUUUCUUAAGUCUGAUGUGAAAGCCCACGGCUCAACCGUGGAGGGUCAUUGGAAACUGGGAGACUUGAGUGCAGAAGAGGAAAGUGGAAUUCCAUGUGUAGCGGUGAAAUGCGUAGAGAUUUGGAGGAACACCAGUGGCGAAGGCGACUUUCUGGUCUGUAACUGACACUGAGGCGCGAAAGCGUGGGGAGCGAACAGGAUUAGAUACCCUGGUAGUCCACGCCGUAAACGAUGAGUGCUAAGUGUUAGAGGGUUUCCGCCCUUUAGUGCUGAAGUUAACGCAUUAAGCACUCCGCCUGGGGAGUACGGCCGCAAGGCUG